RNAcentral lists this ribosomal RNA (467 nucleotides) under uncultured bacterium. RNAcentral's name for it is "partial 16S ribosomal RNA". It matches the Rfam family "Bacterial small subunit ribosomal RNA", at positions 28 to 507 of the family's 1533-position model. The record is from RNAcentral.
GACGAACGCUGGCGGCGUGCUUAACACAUGCAAGUCGAACGGAAAGGCCUCUUUCGGGGGGUACUCGAGUGGCGAACGGGUGAGUAACACGUGAGUAACCUGCCCUUGACUUUGGGAUAACUUCAGGAAACUGGGGCUAAUACCGGAUAGGAGCUCCUGCUGCAUGGUGGGGGUUGGAAAGUUUCGGCGGUUGGGGAUGGACUCGCGGCUUAUCAGCUUGUUGGUGGGGUAGUGGCUUACCAAGGCUUUGACGGGUAGCCGGCCUGGGAGGGUGACCGGCCACAUUGGGACUGGGAUACGGCCCAGACUCCUACGGGAGGCAGCAGUGGGGAAUAUUGCACAAUGGGUGGAAGCCUGAUGCAGCAACGCCGUGUGCGGGAUGACGGCCUUCGGGUUGGAAACCGCUUUCGCUCAUGACGAAGCUUUGUGUGACGGUAGUGGGUAAAGAAGCACCGGCUAACUACGUG